Non-coding RNA from Poecilia reticulata (guppy), 2272 nucleotides. The record is from RefSeq and is a predicted model, not a curated record. NCBI's taxonomy places the organism in Eukaryota, Metazoa, Chordata, Actinopteri, Cyprinodontiformes, Poeciliidae.
CGCCCAACCAGUGUACAUGUGUUUUGUGGACUUGGAGAAGACGUUCGACCGUGUCCCCAGGGGGGCCUUAUGGAGGGUUCUCCGGGAGUACGGGGUACCGGGCCCUUUGAUUCAGGCUGUCAGGUCCCUGUAUGACCGGUGUCAGAAUCUGGUCCGCAUUGCUGGCACCAAGUCAGGCUCGUUUCCGGUGAGAGUUGGACUAUGCCAAGGCUGCCCUAUACCCCCGCGACCCGACCCCGGAUAAGCGGCAGAAAAUGGAUAUAUGGAUUGAUGGAUAAAAGAUGAAAAUCCAAUAUUAUUUUCAUUAUGCAAUAGUUACCUAAGAGUCAAUGACCAGCAAUAACUGACUGAACAGCACUCUGGUUCAACACAUUCGAAUGUAAAAUAUAAAAAAAUUGAAGAAAAUAGGGAGAAAUUUCAAUUUUCUUUGAAAAUGUGAAACUAGCACAGGUUCAGGUUUUUUCACAAAGGUUCCUUUCAGAUUAUUUUUUCGUUCUGUGAUCUACACACAGAACGUUUACACCCUACUAUCAACUGAAUAGGGUGUGAAGUCACUUCACCAUAUCUGGUCUGGAAAAUGUGGGUGCUUUUCCAAUAGCAAGUCGGACACUAACACUUAGUGUGUGGUUUCGUUCGACCCCAGAACCAUUAUAAGGUCUAUUCCUCACUAUUGUGGGCGAACCAUGAGCAUGCAACAGCUGAGCUCAACUCUUUGCUGAUGUUAGCACCCACACUCAGCAAUGGAGAAUCUCGAGGUUGUGGUUCUGAUGCACUGAAAUAAACCCAGGUUUCAUUUUGUCUUUUAGAAAUUCAUUGUUGACGCAAACAUAAUGAUGAAGACUCAGAUCAGCUGAUUAUUUCACUAAGCAUAGAAUUAUAAUUAUAUUCUGCCGCUUUAUUUUUGUGCAACCUUCUGAAUUUGGGUAGUGAAGUUAAAAGAUGUAAGCCAAUAGCUAUACAUGAAAUGUAUUUAAUUUUUUAAUCCAGAGGGAAAGUAAAAUUCACAUCUCAAGGUAGUAUUAUGUAGUUCCGGUGUUUCACACUGCCAGAGCAAAACCGCAGCUCCGAUAGAAAAUGACCACAGCUGCAACAUUUCUCUUUUUUUUAUUUUUGCCCAUUCUUCAGAGAAACAAGCAGCUUGCUGCGCUGCUAAACCAUGGUCAUUCUGCUGCAAAAUUUAACACAUGUUCCUGGCGCUGCUCAUAGUAAUACUCCUAAUUACACUCCUCCGUACUGAGCAGCUCUCUGAUAGCAGACAGUCUGCGUUCCACAGCUAAACUAUAAUAUCGUUUAAAGUUUGCCAUGAGGUAAUCAUGAGCCAAUUCACGAAUAGCUUCAGCUGUCAAUCAAAUCGCCUCGGUGCAGCUCUUGGCAUGGUUCUGCUAGUACUACCUCUGAAGUAGGUACAAAAAUCAGAGAAAAGCCAGGCAGAGCUGCGCUGGAUCUGCUAAUGGAAAUAAAUCUGAUCAGGGUGGACUGGGACUAAUAUCUGCAAGAGGCAGUCUAGAGGAAAAGUGCCUUCAGUUGCUCAGCAACUAAGGUCUGAGCAACUGUUGAUAAAAGUGCACAACUUUGCUUACAUUUAAAGCACAGCAAUAAGGACAGAGAGCUCACAGUUCAGAUCAACGCUGCAGUUUUCAAGUCACCAAUUGAUCUCAGUGGAUUACAUAAAAGUAUGCAGUAAAGUUGUAUGCUUUUACAACAUUUAAUGAGGAGCUAUAUUGUUGAAUAGCUAUUAUCUGAAAUGGGCUUUUGACCAGAAAGAAAAAAAAAUCCUGCUGAUCUUCUGUGCAACAGUGCUUCAGAGCAAGAGCAAAUUACUUAAUAAUUAUUGGUUCAGCACUUCAACCUCAUAUGGAGGUGUAAGUUUUUGUACUGUUUUCAAGGGAGCUGUAAGACAGAAUAUAAAAAUACAAUAAGCUAAUACAAAAAACAGUUCAGCUGAGAUGAAAACACACUGCAUCAUCAUCACCAUCAUCAUAACUGAGGAUUUGAGACAGUGUAAUUCAGAGCAGCCAACCAACAAGCUGAGUUGUACCUGUGAUUUGCUGGCAUGAUGGACACCACAGGACACCCACAUCGAUCCACGCAGUGUUCUCAUAAUACGGUGAUUCUUCUUGUGUCUCAGUUUAUCUGCUCGCCUCCUCACCCAUCUAGGUGUAACAGUCUAUGUGUCUCUAUCUGAGCAUGUGUUUCAGAGAGAGAAAGUGGAUAGGUGUGUGUGCAGUCUACUGGAAGGCGAGUAGGAACAUGAGGACUACAUUAAUGAUAA